UUCGCAAUGCCCGAAAGGGUGACGAAGCGACGCCGCGUGGGUGAGGAAGGCCUUCGGGUUGUAAAGCCCUGUCAGGAGUUAUGAAAUGUAAGUGCGUUAAUACCGUGCUUAUUUGACAAAGGCCCCAAAGGAAGUCACGGCUAACUCUGUGCCAGCAGCCGCGGUAAUACAGAGGUGGCAAGCGUUGUUCGGUAUUAUUGGGCGUAAAGAGCACGUAGGUGGUUUUGUAAGUCAGGUGUGAAAGCCUUCUGUUCAAAGGAAGAACGGCAUCUGAAACUGCAGAUCUUGAGUGUAGGAGGGGAGAGUGGAACUUCUGGUGGAGCGGUGAAAUGCGUAGAUAUCAGAAGGAACGUCGGCGGCGAAAGCGACUCUCUGGCCUAUUACUGACACUGAGGUGCGAAAGUUAGGGGAGCAAACGGGAUUAGAUACCCCGGUAGUCCUAACCGUAAAC
RNAcentral lists this ribosomal RNA (451 nucleotides) under uncultured Candidatus Scalindua sp. RNAcentral describes it as "bacterial SSU rRNA". It matches the Rfam family "Bacterial small subunit ribosomal RNA", at positions 365 to 807 of the family's 1533-position model. The record is from RNAcentral. Lineage: Bacteria; Pseudomonadati; Planctomycetota; Candidatus Brocadiia; Candidatus Brocadiales; Candidatus Scalinduaceae.